CCACACUCCUAAAUCCAGAGACCAAGGUGGCCAGCUAAGUGUUGGUGAGAUUUCUGUUUUGAAUCCACUGAACUCAAAAGCAUGGAUACUCCAUACCUGUUGUUGCAAGAAUCAGUUUUCCAGGGAUUUCUCACUUAUAUCAGCAAGCACAUUAAUUUAUACAUCAACAUUCCAACAGCUCCCUGGAG
Chiroxiphia lanceolata (lance-tailed manakin) is the source of this 188-nucleotide long non-coding RNA. RefSeq lists it as uncharacterized. The record is from RefSeq and is a predicted model, not a curated record. The transcript has 3 exons. Lineage: Eukaryota; Metazoa; Chordata; Aves; Passeriformes; Pipridae.